UCGGGAAUUUUGGGCAAUGGGGGAAACCCUGACCCAGCAACGCCGCGUGAGGGAUGAAGGCCCUCGGGUCGUAAACCUCUGUCGGGAGGGAAGAAAGGUUCGCGUAUGAACACUGCGUGGGCUUGACGGUACCUCCAAAGGAAGCACCGGCUAACUCCGUGCCAGCAGCCGCGGUAAUACGGAGGGUGCAAGCGUUGUUCGGAAUCACUGGGCGUAAAGCGCGUGUAGGCGGCUUGGCAAGUCGAUUGUGAAAGCCCGAGGCCCAACCUCGGAACUGCAACCGAAACUGCCUGGCUAGAGUCCCGGAGAGGGUGGCGGAAUUUCCGGUGUAGAGGUGAAAUUCGUAGAUAUCGGAAGGAACACCAGUGGCGAAGGCGGCCACCUGGACGGUGACUGACGCUGAGACGCGAAAGCGUGGGGAGCAAACAGGAUUAGAUACCCGCGUAGUCC
This 450-nucleotide ribosomal RNA is filed under the name uncultured prokaryote. RNAcentral describes it as "bacterial SSU rRNA". It matches the Rfam family "Bacterial small subunit ribosomal RNA", at positions 355 to 796 of the family's 1533-position model. The record is from RNAcentral.